UACGUAGGUGGCGAGCGUUGUCCGGAUUUACUGGGCGUAAAGAGCGCGCAGGCGGUCGUUCAAGUCGCGUGUGAAAGCCCCCCGGCUCAACUGGGGAGGGUCACGCGAUACUGAUCGACUCGAAGGCAGGAGAGGGAAGUGGAAUUCCCGGUGUAGUGGUGAAAUGCGUAGAUAUCGGGAGGAACACCAGUGGCGAAGGCGACUUCCUGGCCUGUUCUUGACGCUGAGGCGCGAAAGCUAGGGGAGCAAACAGGG
This 255-nucleotide ribosomal RNA is filed under the name uncultured bacterium. Its description in RNAcentral is "partial 16S ribosomal RNA". It matches the Rfam family "Bacterial small subunit ribosomal RNA", at positions 524 to 777 of the family's 1533-position model. The record is from RNAcentral.